This 937-nucleotide ribosomal RNA is filed under the name uncultured bacterium. Its description in RNAcentral is "bacterial SSU rRNA". It matches the Rfam family "Bacterial small subunit ribosomal RNA", at positions 44 to 957 of the family's 1533-position model. The record is from RNAcentral.
GUGCCUCAGACAUGCAAGUCGAACGCGAAAGUUCCCUUCGGGGGGCAAGUAGAGUGGCGCACGGGUGAGUAACACGUAGGUAAUCUACCUUUGGAUGGGGAAUAACAACCGGAAACGGUUGCUAAUACCGCAUAAUGCAGCGGCACCUAAUGGUGACAGUUGUUAAAGCGGGGGAUCGCAAGACCUCGCGUCUGAAGAGGAGCCUGCGGCGGAUUAGCUAGUUGGUAAGGUAACGGCUUACCAAGGCGAUGAUCCGUAGCCGGCCUGAGAGGGCGGUCGGCCACACUGACACUGACAUACGGGUCAGACUCCUACGGGAGGCAGCAGUCGGGAAUUUUGGGCAAUGGGCGAAAGCCUGACCCAGCAACGCCGCGUGAAGGAUGAAAUCCUUCGGGAUGUAAACUUCGCAAGAACGGGAAGAAUAAGUAAGGGUUAAUAUCUCUUACGAUGACGGUACUGUUUGUAAGCUCCGGCUAACUCCGUGCCAGCAGCCGCGGUAAUACGGGGGGAGCAAGCGUUGUUCGGAUUUACUGGGCGUAAAGGGCGCGUAGGCGGCCACCGCAAGUCGACUGUGAAAUCUCCGGGCUUAACCCGGAAAGGUCAGCCGAUACUGCGGGGCUAGAGUGCAGAAGGGGCAACUGGAAUUCUCGGUGUAGCGGUGAAAUGCGUAGAUAUCGAGAGGAACACCUGCGGCGAAGGCGGGUUGCUGGGCUGACACUGACGCUGAGGCGCGAAAGCUAGGGGAGCGAACGGGAUUAGAUACCCCGGUAGUCCUAGCCUUAAACGAUGAAUGCUUGGUGUCUGGGGUUUUAUAGUCCCCGGGUGCCGUCGCUAACGCUUUAAGCAUUCCGCCUGGGGAGUACGGUCGCAAGACUGAAACUCAAAGGAAUUGACGGGGACCCGCACAAGCGGUGGAGCAUGUGGUUUAAUUCGACGC